ACGGGUGAGUAACGCGUGGGAAUCAACCCAUCCCUACGGAAUAACGCAUGGAAACGUGUGCUAAUACCGUAUACGCCCUACGGGGGAAAGAUUUAUCGGGGAUGGAUGAGCCCGCGUUGGAUUAGCUAGUUGGUGGGGUAAAGGCCUACCAAGGCGACGAUCCAUAGCUGGUCUGAGAGGAUGAUCAGCCACAUUGGGACUGAGACACGGCCCAAACUCCUACGGGAGGCAGCAGUGGGGAAUAUUGGACAAUGGGCGCAAGCCUGAUCCAGCCAUGCCGCGUGAGUGAUGAAGGCCUUAGGGUUGUAAAGCUCUUUCACCGGAGAAGAUAAUGACGGUAUCCGGAGAAGAAGCCCCGGCUAACUUCGUGCCAGCAGCCGCGGUAAUACGAAGGGGGCUAGCGUUGUUCGGAAUUACUGGGCGUAAAGCGCACGUAGGCGGACUUUUAAGUCAGGGGUGAAAUCCCAGAGCUCAACUCUGGAACUGCCUUUGAUACUGGAAGUCUGGAGUAUGGAAGAGGUGAGUGGAAUUCCGAGU
RNAcentral lists this ribosomal RNA (537 nucleotides) under uncultured bacterium. RNAcentral describes it as "bacterial SSU rRNA". It matches the Rfam family "Bacterial small subunit ribosomal RNA", at positions 102 to 674 of the family's 1533-position model. The record is from RNAcentral.